RNAcentral lists this ribosomal RNA (447 nucleotides) under uncultured bacterium. RNAcentral's name for it is "bacterial SSU rRNA". It matches the Rfam family "Bacterial small subunit ribosomal RNA", at positions 355 to 825 of the family's 1533-position model. The record is from RNAcentral.
UCGGGAAUUUUGGGCAAUGGGCGAAAGCCUGACCCAGCAACGCCGCGUGAAGGAUGAAGUAUUUCGGUAUGUAAACUUCGAAAGAAUAGGAAGAAUAAAUGACGGUACUAUUUAUAAGCUCCGGCUAACUACGUGCCAGCAGCCGCGGUAAUACGUAGGGAGCAAGCGUUGUUCGGAUUUAUUGGGCGUAAAGGGCGCGUAGGCGGCGCGGUAAGUCACUUGUGAAAUCUCUGAGCUUAACUCAGAACGGCCAAGUGAUACUGCAGUGCUAGAGUGCAGAAGGGGCAAUCGGAAUUCUUGGUGUAGCGGUGAAAUGCGUAGAUAUCAAGAGGAACACCUGAGGUGAAGACGGGUUGCUGGGCUGACACUGACGCUGAGGCGCGAAAGCUAGGGGAGCAAACGGGAUUAGAUACCCCCGUAGUCCCUGAGCGGGCUGGCAAGGCGCAU